GUGUUCACUUUAUCAGCACAAAUGCUAAAAAUUCAAUAAUGCAGAGAUUAACAGGGCCUCACUGUAAGCAUGACAUAGAUAUUUGUAAGGCAUUGCAUAGGUUU
RNAcentral lists this small nuclear RNA (104 nucleotides) under Dipodomys ordii (Ord's kangaroo rat). Lineage: Eukaryota; Metazoa; Chordata; Mammalia; Rodentia; Heteromyidae. The record is from RNAcentral.